Molecule: non-coding RNA, 1520 nt
Organism: Salvelinus sp. IW2-2015
Lineage: Eukaryota; Metazoa; Chordata; Actinopteri; Salmoniformes; Salmonidae
Source: RefSeq, a predicted model, not a curated record
CCCACGCUGCCGUAUUGGUUUACGGAAAAGAGAUUUUCUCCUGCAUGUUUCACCUCUGUCUAGCUUGCAUAGCUCAUUUUUCACUCAAGGACACACCAUCUCCCUGGACACAUUUUUUACAUAUCACCCCUCAUUUUCUGAUCAGUUUUACCUGGAUAUCAAUGGUCAUGGUGAAAGAAAAAGUGGCACAUGCGCAGGACACACACCAUUCCAAUGAGAAGCCUCUGAUUCAGUGCUACAAGUGUGGGGAGCCAUGUAAGGGUGAGGUGCUGCGGGUCCAGUCCAAGCACUUCCACCUGAAGUGCUUCACCUGUAAAGUGUGUGGCUGUGACUUGGCUCAGGGAGGCUUCUUCAUGAAAAAUGGAGACUACCUGUGUACCCUGGACUACCAGCGAAUGCACGGUACACGCUGCAACGGCUGUAGGGACUUUGUGGAGGGAGAGGUGGUCACUGCCCUAGGCAAGACUUACCACCCUGCCUGCUUUGUCUGCACCAUCUGCAAACGACCAUUUCCUGCUGGGGAUAGGGUCACCUUCAAUGGCAAAGAUUGUCUGUGUCAGUACUGUGUCCAGCCCACGUCCCCAGGACCUGGCAAAGACCUCAUGGACUCCAACUGAUGGUGCCUUCAGAAGCUUUGCAAUUUGGGUCAGGUUAUCAGGAUGUGUAAUGUGCUAUAUAAGUGCACAUUGAUUACAAAUUGUGUUAAAGGACUCACUCCCUGCCAUCCUGGCCCACAGCCACUGCUCCUGUGUUGCUGGGACUACUUUGUGCAACCACACAGUUGCACUGCUCUACUAGUCAACACAUUACUCUCAAUUUGGGAUUGGUGCAUUCCCCCAUCCAUAGUUGCACCGAGAGUGAGCAGAGGUGGCAAAAGCCAAAAACAAUGGUAAGGCUGUGUGGAUGGUUAUUGAAGGCUAAUAUGAAUAAUAUAAAUUGGUGAUGUGAUUGUGAUGAUCUAAGUGCCCCUUUGUAUUCCAAGGGUGUGAAGCCAGGCACUGUUAGCAGGAUGGUGUUCCUAUCAGCAAGACCCAAAGAGAGAAUAAUGGUUGAAGGAGUGAGGAGUACCUUCUAUAGAGGUGUAACCUGGGAGCUGCCUGACCUCUGUCCUCCAUGUGGAAGAGGUGUACAGGGACUUUACCAAUGCUACAGCCCCUUUGGUCAUUCCAUUGGACAUAUCCACUGAGGUCCAGUUAGUGGAUUCUGCCAUUGGUGAAGUCCGGGCUGGCUGCUGCUACAACAACUCGCAACAUCACUUCGCAUGAAGACAGAAUCCUCAGGGGAACUCGUCAGUCUGCAGAGAUGAAGAGAGGUCUGGAGAUGAAUUCUGCUGCUGUGGAGGAAUACUAUGUUCUCCAGAAUGUCAACUGUUACCCCCAUGGGCAUCAACAGAGACUGCCAAAUUUGGGAAGCAAUCAACAAGAAGGCUGACCAUUUAUUUGUUUACUCUUACUUGCAGAGAUGCCUAAUGAUCUCCUAUGUCAAAUGUUAAAAGAUUAAAAACAUUUUUGUACUGUGAA